AUCAUAGAUGAUAAAGGAGUUGUAUCUAACACUACACGCAAUGUAGUGUAUCAAGAAGUCUUCGAUAAUAUUUGACAUCAUAAAAAGAUAUCAAGCAAUUUAUUGAUCAUCUAAUUUGAAGGUGUAAUGACUUUUCUAUAAGGUUCUAUAGCACAAAUAUGCUUGAUUGACAACAAGCUCGGUUAUGAAGUCUUUAUCAUUAAUCAUGGACUACAAUUUCGAAUAAGGGUUCAUGUUGCUGUCA
Long non-coding RNA from Lotus japonicus, 244 nucleotides. RefSeq lists it as uncharacterized. The record is from RefSeq and is a predicted model, not a curated record. The transcript is spliced from 3 exons. Lineage: Eukaryota; Viridiplantae; Streptophyta; Magnoliopsida; Fabales; Fabaceae.